Molecule: long non-coding RNA, 1000 nt
Filed under: Helianthus annuus (common sunflower)
Lineage: Eukaryota; Viridiplantae; Streptophyta; Magnoliopsida; Asterales; Asteraceae
Description: sRNA HanXRQr2_Chr11g0499541
Source: RNAcentral
GGUACGGGUCGAAACGGUUCGCGUCGAAACGGUUCACGUCGAAACGGUUCGCUUUGACCCGAACCUGCCCCGUUUCUUUAAGACACUAACCCACAUUAACCCAUUUCUUUAAUGUUGUUGACCCGCUUUGACCCGAAAAUAACAAGAUGGAAUUUCAAGUGACCCAUUGUGACCCAUUUAGGUAAAAUAUCUUACCCAAACCAACCCAUAUAAUUUUAAAAGCAACCCAAACUGACCCAUUUGGAAGGUUUUGGGUCAAGAUUGCCUCCUCUAUGUACAAUACAGCGUGGCAAUCAGUUGGGCCUUUGAUUAAUUAACAUCUCUUUUUUAAUUGUCCUCCUCCUUUCUUUAAUAUCCAGGUGGUCAAAUUAAGAUAGCUGUUCUGAUUCUUUGUUUUCUUGUUUAUAUUAAUUUCUGUUUGUUAUUGAAUGCUCAGUUGUGUGUUUCUGAUCUGGAAACACAAAUUUAGGUUACGUGUUCUCUAAUUUUUUUUUGUUUAUUAACGUGAACCAAAUGCAAUUUUUAUCUGUUUCUUUGUUUGGUUGUUUAUACGAAUUGAUGUUGAAGAUGGAACUAUUUUGUUGCAGAAAAUGUUGAUAUUUUUGUACAUAUUUCGUAGAAAUUUAUAAAUAAUCAAUGCUUUAACAAUAAUUUUUCUUUCUACUAAAAGUGUGUUUAAAACUCUGUUAUAAAACUUUUGGAUUUCCCGUCAUCAGUGUGUUAAAAUUUGUUAAUAAUCAUAACACGAGAACCAAUUGUGAUUAUAGUAGCAUCUACAUCUGUGUGUAAUUUGUUAAAUCCAUAGAUUUAAUACAACUCGUGUAACACACGGGUACUUAGACUAGUUAAUCUAAUAAGAAGAUAAAUAAGAUGUCAUGUCUUUUUUUUCUUAAAUCUGCUAGAAAAUGUCUGGACAGGUCAUUUGCUGUCACAUCACUUCUAUGAUGUAAUAUGGGUAAAACGAUAAUAAAAUUAACGCUUAAUUAAUGGAUGGUUGCUA